This 434-nucleotide ribosomal RNA is filed under the name uncultured bacterium. RNAcentral describes it as "bacterial SSU rRNA". It matches the Rfam family "Bacterial small subunit ribosomal RNA", at positions 370 to 796 of the family's 1533-position model. The record is from RNAcentral.
AAUGCGGGCGAGCUGAUGCAGCAUGCCGCGUGUGGGAAGAAGGCCUGAGGGUUGUAAACCUCUUUUUUUGUGAGGAAGGGGUGAUUUGUUAAUACCUAUCUACCUUGACGUUAACUUUAGAAGAAGCACCGGCUAAUUCAGUGCCCGCAGCCGCGGUCAUACUGAAGGGGCAAGCGUUAAUCGGAAUUACUGGGCGUAAAGCGCGCGUAAGCUCUUUGUUAACUCGGAUGUGAAAGCCCUGGGCUCAACCUGGGAACUGCAUUCGAUACUGAAGGACUAUUUCAUGUUAAAGGGAAAUGGAAUUCCAGGUGUAAAGGAGAAAUGCGUACAAAUCCACUUGAACACCCAUGGCGAAACACUCUUCCUGGGACAAUACUGACGCUAAGGUGCGAAAACCCCCAGAGCAAAAAGGGAUUAGAUACCCCCAAUAGUCA